This 239-nucleotide long non-coding RNA is filed under the name Lathyrus oleraceus (garden pea). RNAcentral describes it as "Pisum sativum (pea) long non-coding RNA (PSAT_LNC030868)". Lineage: Eukaryota; Viridiplantae; Streptophyta; Magnoliopsida; Fabales; Fabaceae. The record is from RNAcentral.
AUCCAUAAUGAAUAUCUUACACAUUUCUAUUUCUUUGUAUGUUUUAGAAUUUUGUCCCUUUUUCCUAUUGAUACAUUGUUUAUAUACUAUACAGAAAAUCGUGACGUUGUUAAGUUGCCUAGUUUUAUUAACAUAUAUGUAUACACAAUUGUGAAGGAUGAUACAUUGUUUUAUAUAUUACAGAGAAAAAAUAAUUACACAAAGCUGAAUGCUAUAGCAUCCAUGGGGCUGAUAUGACA